RNAcentral lists this long non-coding RNA (2012 nucleotides) under Olea europaea subsp. europaea. The record is from RNAcentral. Lineage: Eukaryota; Viridiplantae; Streptophyta; Magnoliopsida; Lamiales; Oleaceae.
CGGCAAUUAAAUGAAAAAAAAAAAAAAGCGAAAAGAGAGAAUAGAACAUCAAUAACCCGCACACUCAUUUUCCCCCAAUUUAAGCUCUCCCAAAACACCUCCCUCCCAGUCGGCGCCUUACCUCCGGUCACAAUAUAAGCAUCGGAGAACACCACUGUAGCCUGACCUCAUGAAGAAUGCCUGCAUUUUUCCCAAUUUCUUCUCUCACAAAAACCCUCUCGAAGCCGACACCACACCCACCAUCCUCCUCGGUGACAUCGUACCUCCGGUCACAAUAUAAACACUGAAAACCAUUACACCACUUACUGUGGUUGAAGGCUCGAGAAAUGGGAGCUUGGCGGGGUUGAUUUCGGCUUAACUGCGAUCUGCAUUACUCUGCUGGUUGGUGUGCAUUUUUCGACCUUCAACUAUUCUGUUCACUGCCCGAGCGUAUACAUACUGUAUAUUUUUUGCCUGUGACAAUCUUGGUGCUUUCAGAGUAUUGUGAACCGCAGGUGAAAGGUACAAAGCUGUAAUUGUAGAAUUACUAAUUGAAUUGUUCUGUCAAUCUGAAAAUUCAUGUUAUUAGCCUCUUGAUAAAUUUUAACAUGUUGGAAAUGUAAUUUGUUUGAUUAAUCCAUGCUUCUAUCGCUACGUUGUCGGUUGUCUGGAUAAAACUUGUGUGUCGCCAUCGAUUUACAUGAUGUUUUUAUCGAAAUCAAAGUAGGUCAAAAUACUAAAUUCUUUUACGAUGGAAAAGCAGCUUAAGAAACCUAGGAAGACAUCUCCUACAUUUUAAUUAGUUGACUGGUUAUGGUGAAAAGGAUGGAUAAUAGUUGGGUUACCAGUGAAUAGUCAUUAAACAGUUGUGGAUUUGGAAAUAGACUUCCUGAAGGGCUCUAAAAAUUUAUAAAUGGAUGCUGUCCUUUUAAGUAUUACAUUUUGUUCUAUUUUAGCUGUAUGUCAACUGAAUACCUUUUGAAUGAAAUGUUGAAGGAGAGAAAGUUGAACCAGCUUAUUUUGAUUGCAUUCUCAACUGUUGUUGUACGUAAUCGGGGAUUAAUUCAUCCCAAUCGGUGUAUACACAUGUAUUUGAUGUAUGAUAAUGGACGAGGCUAAAUUUCAUGUCAAUUUCAAUAUAUAUAUAUAUAUAUAUAUAUAUAUAUAUAUAUAUAUUGCAUGAACUUAAAUCAAUCAAAUAAUUAUUCGUCCUAAUUAAUUUGCUCAUUUAGAUUGUAUUCAGGUGGAAUAAUGAUAAAUAAAGUGGAAGGAAGAAAUUUUUUUACAAAAAAUAGGAUUCCUGAAAAAUGGAUUAAUUAUUGAUUCGAAGAGGGGAGUGUGUAUAUAUAUAUAUGGUUUGGGUAUUUUGGGACUACUUCGGGCAGAUAAAGAUAAGUAAUGGAGAAGUAUAUUUGCAAUUGAUUUAUUUCACAUGCUACACAAUUUGGGGUUUAUUUAUAUAAUGGUUUGUACAAUUGAUUUAUGUGCUUGUUUUCCAUCUAAGGAUAUGAAAGGAAGGAAUGCUGGAAUUUGUCACAGCUGUUUUUUUAGUGAAUGCCCGAGAAAACGUCAUUGCCCAAGGUGUGCACAUGGAUUUCAAAAAUGUUUCGAUGUUGAAAGGAAGACGUGCAACAAAGGGCAAUUAUUCAACACAUGCAGUCAUAAAUGUGGAUUUUUUGAAUGGGUCGAACUAGGAGAGUCAAGCCGAGAAUAGAGUACCAUUAACGAAGCGCUUAGUGUUGCAGCAAAUGAGGAAGUCGAAGAUUUGCCAAGAAUGUUAGAUACGCUUAUUCCAAUAUCCGACGAACGAGACUUAGAGAUUAACCUGAACAUUACUUUCUGCAAGGGAAAAGGAAGUUCGGAAGGAAACGAGAAAGCAAAGGAGGCCACUUGAUUAGUUGUUUUGUGUUAAAUAUGUUAAUUGAAUUAUGUUUGUACUAUAACCCUCGAAUGACAUAACUAUGUAUGUUCCAUCGAAAAAUGGGUAUAAUGCAAUUUAGGUUUAUGUGUAUUCAUUACCUAUUGCCACUUUA